This 207-nucleotide unclassified non-coding RNA is filed under the name Ascomycota sp. Its description in RNAcentral is "partial contains small subunit ribosomal RNA, internal transcribed spacer 1, and 5.8S ribosomal RNA". The stretch from base 1 to 47 matches the Rfam family "Eukaryotic small subunit ribosomal RNA", at positions 1785 to 1831 of the family's 1831-position model. Lineage: Eukaryota; Fungi; Ascomycota. The record is from RNAcentral.
AAAGUCGUAACAAGGUCUCCGUUGGUGAACCAGCGGAGGGAUCAUUACUGAGUUACAAACUCCAAACCCUUCUGUGGACCCCUAAACCGUUGCCUCGGCGGGCUCGCCCGCCGGUGGCCCCAAACCCAAAACUCUCACGCAACGUACUUCUGAGUGGCGCAGACUAUAAAUAUGUCAAAACUUUCAGCAACGGAUCUCUUGGCUCUG